GGGAAAGCGGAGGGCGCGCCCCGCUCCCGGGCCGACUGCGCUAACAGCGGCCCCGGUGUUGGGGUGCGUCUGCCGCUGCCCC
RNAcentral lists this microRNA precursor (82 nucleotides) under Chlorocebus sabaeus (green monkey). RNAcentral's name for it is "miRNA (ENSCSAG00000024661.1)". The record is from RNAcentral. Lineage: Eukaryota; Metazoa; Chordata; Mammalia; Primates; Cercopithecidae.